GGUCUUUUGUUUAUAUAAAAGAUCUGGCCUGCUCUAUGAUUUAAAUUUAUUAAAUGGCUGCAGUAUUUUGACUGUACAAAGGUAGCAUAAUCAUUUGUCUUUUAAUUGGAGGCUGGUAUGAAGGGUUGGAUGAAAAAUAUACUUUCUUUUUUUUAUAUAAAAAAUUUUAUUUUUCAGUUAAAAAGCUGAAAUAUUAUUAUAGGACGAGAAGACCCUAUAGAACUUUAUUAUUAUUAUGAUAUAAUUUUUUUUGUUUAUUACAAAAUUAUAUCAUUUUAUUAAUUUUGUUGGGGUGAUAGAAAAAAAUUUGUAACUUUUUUUGUUUAUUACAUUUAUUUAUGUUUUUUUGAUCCUUUAUUAUGGAUAAUAAGAUUAAGUUACCUUAGGGAUAACAGCGUUAUUUUUUCGGAGAGUUCUUAUUGAUGGAAAAGUUUGCGACCUCGAUGUUGGAUUAAAAUAAGUAGUGGGGGUAGCAUAUCAUAUACUAGGUCUGUUCGACCUUUAAAUUUUUACA
This 514-nucleotide ribosomal RNA is filed under the name Oncerometopus sp. WCW-2003d. Its description in RNAcentral is "partial 16S ribosomal RNA". It matches the Rfam family "Bacterial large subunit ribosomal RNA", at positions 1829 to 2600 of the family's 2925-position model. Lineage: Eukaryota; Metazoa; Arthropoda; Insecta; Hemiptera; Miridae. The record is from RNAcentral.